Molecule: long non-coding RNA, 985 nt
Organism: Bos indicus x Bos taurus (hybrid cattle)
Lineage: Eukaryota; Metazoa; Chordata; Mammalia; Artiodactyla; Bovidae
Source: Ensembl
AUGCUUUCAAUCUGAUGGGCCGUGGGCUAUCGCUUCCAAGAAUUACUGAAACCCUUAGGGCCCUCUAGAUGCCACCUGACCUUGAAUAACACUGGAGAAGAAAUCUCAAGGACUACUGCGAUCUCUCCCUGGCUCCUGGUAAAUGGAGCACCUGACCUUUCGUCUUUCCCAUCUCAUGGUUCGGGAUGAUUCAACUGGCCUGGAGCUCCAGUGGAACACUGUCUGCUUCAACUCUGGUGUCCUGCCUCAUGGCCUCGGGUCUAGCUGCUGAGUCCCCGUGGCAGCCUGAAUUCCUGGACUUCUGGUUUUUCCUUGUCAUCAUCUGGUUGUGAAAUAAAGUGCAGCCUCUGCUCUCCUGGCAGUUUCCAGUGUUUGCUCCAUUUCAUUGCAUGGACUCCACUGGAUUUUGACAGGUUGCCCUCUACAUGAAACCACAGUUGAAAGCAGUCUCAAAUGAGGCUCUGACAGACUCUCUCUGGGAGUGAAAGAGAAGCCGAUGACAAAUAAAAGCAAAUCUUUGAAGCAGAGCAUUUAGAGGCAGAUUUUUAAUGAAGCUUUGGAUUGGGGUGUCAGAGCAGCAAGUGGCUGGACUGGUAUUCAAACCCUGACAACUUCUUCAUGAGGCAGAAGAGUGAAGAGGGGACAGAACGCAGGUGUCAGAACACAGGUGAACGUCAGAGAGCUGGAGAGCUGACGCAGCUGCUGAAAGUUUUGAUAUUCAUUUACUCAAGCAAGGUCAUCAUGGUCCUUUACUCAAUUACAAGGUCACGGUGGAACUAACUUAGGUAUUUUUUCACUGCGUCACCAAAAUUCUUCCUCUCUAUUAUAUUACCCCUAUUCGGAAAACAUACAAACGUACCCUAAUAGUAUCUUCCUUUAGAAUUAAAUUCUUUGUCUGGUUAUAUCUGAUUUUCUGUUCCCUCCACAGGAAAACUUUCAGAAAGUUGUCUAUGUGCUGUCUCUAUAUCCUCACUUACAUUCACCU